Long non-coding RNA from Acromyrmex echinatior (Panamanian leafcutter ant), 421 nucleotides. NCBI's taxonomy places the organism in Eukaryota, Metazoa, Arthropoda, Insecta, Hymenoptera, Formicidae. The record is from RefSeq and is a predicted model, not a curated record.
GUUAAGUUUAAUUUUAUAUAUAAUUUAACAAAACUGACAUUAGAUAAAGAAGAUAUCAUCAAGCAUGAUUAUGACAUGAUAGGUAUGCAAUUAUGUUCUCCAUUAAUUAAAAAAUGCAAUAAUCAAGAUGACUAUGCAAUAUGUCUAAUAAAAAACAAUACAGAAAUAGGAACAGGAAGGUUUUCUCCAAAAUUAGAUAAUGAAUAAAGAAGAAUUUUGUUUAAUUUUACUGGUGAUGGUUGUCUACAUGGAAUCAAUCAUAUGACAGUCAUGUAUUGUGAUUAUGAUACAGAGACUAAUUCAUAUCCUGAAUUAUUUUCGUAUUAUGGAAAAUUGCGUUAGCUUGUGUACUACAACCCAAACAAAUUGUACAGUUGUUAACACUGGAUAGGUAUCAACAAGCAGAUUUUAUAUUCAAAUU